GAUGAACGCUGGCGGCGUGCCUAAUACAUGCAAGUCGAGCGAACAGACGAGGAGUUUGCUCCUCUGACGUUAGCGGCGGGCGGGUGAGUAACACGUGGAUAACCUACCUAUAAGACUGGGAUAACUUCGGGAAACCGGAGCUAAUACCGGAUGAUAUAUUGAACCACGGGGUUCAAUGGUGAGAGACGGUUUUUCUGUCACUUCUAGAUGGAUCCGCGCCGUAUUAGCUAGUUGUUGGGGUAACGGCUUACCAAGGCGACGAUGCGUGGCCGACCUGAGAGGCUGAUCGGCCACACUGGAACUGAGACACGGUCCAGACUCCUACGGGAGGCAGCAGUAGGGAAUCUGCCGCAAUGGGCGAAAGCAUGACGGAGCAACGCCGCGCGAGUGAUGAAGGUCUUCGGAUCGUAAAACUCUGUUAUUAGGGAAGAACCGAUGUGUAAGUAACUAUGGACGUCUUGACGGUACCUAAUCAGAAAGCAACGGCUAACUACGUG
Molecule: ribosomal RNA, 497 nt
Filed under: uncultured bacterium
Lineage: Bacteria
Description: partial 16S ribosomal RNA
Rfam family: Bacterial small subunit ribosomal RNA
Source: RNAcentral